This is a long non-coding RNA of Triticum aestivum (bread wheat), 715 nucleotides long. RefSeq lists it as uncharacterized. The transcript has 4 exons. The record is from RefSeq and is a predicted model, not a curated record. NCBI's taxonomy places the organism in Eukaryota, Viridiplantae, Streptophyta, Magnoliopsida, Poales, Poaceae.
CGUCGAUCCCCCUGUGCGGCGCGCGCUCCAUUUGCCGCAAUAUGCGGCGUAUAGGAGGUCCUGGAUCCACCGGUGCGCGGGAAAGGAGAAGGGGAUCCGCCGCUGCGCGAGAGGUCAGCGGCGAGCCGAUGACUCUAGGUCAUGUCGCCAUCAUCACAUGAGAGGUCUUCCAUGUGGUGAUCUGUCCAUGUGUGUUUGCUAUGGAACUGGUCAGUGGUUGAGCCCUAGAUUUGAGCUCCUCAUGGUUAUGGUAUAUCGGUUUGGGGAUUAUUGGAGGCUAGAUCUAGAUUAUUUUUCCAGAAGUGGAAUUCAUGAGCUGACUAUUUAAAAUGGCUGCUGAUCGGGUAGUUAACAUGCAUUAGGGAAAAUGGAGGACUGUCUAAAUGAAGAUGAGUUCCUUGUCCAGUGUAUUGUAGUCUCUAGGAGAGUGGCAAGGAAGAUACAUCCCUUAAGCUAUUAUGCUCUUUGCAGUGCUAUAAAAGCAGUUCGAAAUCAGUUGAACCAAAUCAAAACGCAUUAGACAAAACAACAGAGAAUGGAUAUGAUAUGCAUGGUUCUUGAAUCAUGGUAAGUGGCAUAUGUUCCCUAUACAUUGAUGUCAGUUUUAAAUCAACCGGAGUGGCAUACCCAAUAAUAUAGUGUCCAAGCCUUCUUUAAUUCCUUCUUUUGUCAAUCUGUGCCCUAAUCGUGUCAUAUAUUCAAAAGAUUUCUUAGA